AGCGGGGUGGGGUAGCCAGGUUUAACCCGCUGGGCUCAUAACCCAGAGAUCGGUAGUUCAAAUCUACUCCCCGCUACCA
RNAcentral lists this transfer RNA (79 nucleotides) under Candidatus Bathyarchaeota archaeon. Its description in RNAcentral is "tRNA-Met". It matches the Rfam family "tRNA". From Rfam's summary of the family: Transfer RNA (tRNA) molecules are approximately 80 nucleotides in length. Their secondary structure includes four short double-helical elements and three loops (D, anti-codon, and T loops). Further hydrogen bonds mediate the characteristic L-shaped molecular structure. tRNAs have two regions of fundamental functional importance: the anti-codon, which is responsible for specific mRNA codon recognition, and the 3' end, to which the tRNAs corresponding amino acid is attached (by aminoacyl-tRNA synthetases). tRNAs cope with the degeneracy of the genetic code in two manners: having more than one tRNA (with a specific anti-codon) for a particular amino acid; and 'wobble' base-pairing, i.e. permitting non-standard base-pairing at the 3rd anti-codon position. Lineage: Archaea; Thermoproteati; Candidatus Bathyarchaeota. RNAcentral also lists the same sequence under 3 other names. The record is from RNAcentral.